This 242-nucleotide ribosomal RNA is filed under the name Escherichia coli. Its description in RNAcentral is "partial 16S ribosomal RNA". It matches the Rfam family "Bacterial small subunit ribosomal RNA", at positions 1 to 239 of the family's 1533-position model. Lineage: Bacteria; Pseudomonadati; Pseudomonadota; Gammaproteobacteria; Enterobacterales; Enterobacteriaceae. The record is from RNAcentral.
AAAUUGAAGAGUUUGAUCAUGGCUCAGAUUGAACGCUGGCGGCAGGCCUAACACAUGCAAGUCGAACGGUAACAGGAAGAAGCUUGCUUCUUUGCUGACGAGUGGCGGACGGGUGAGUAAUGUCUGGGAAACUGCCUGAUGGAGGGGGAUAACUACUGGAAACGGUAGCUAAUACCGCAUAACGUCGCAAGACCAAAGAGGGGGACCUUCGGGCCUCUUGCCAUCGGAUGUGCCCAGAUGGG